Long non-coding RNA from Puntigrus tetrazona (Sumatra barb), 800 nucleotides. RefSeq lists it as uncharacterized. The transcript has 3 exons. The record is from RefSeq and is a predicted model, not a curated record. Lineage: Eukaryota; Metazoa; Chordata; Actinopteri; Cypriniformes; Cyprinidae.
AGGAGUCGGAAUCGUUCACUUCUUCCCAUCCCGUUUGAGAACACGAAGACGGCGGGCUCGACUGACUGCGAGCGCCCGCCUCUGGAGGACAUGCGCCUGGGACUCGACACGUGAUCCGCUCGCCACAAUCCAGUAUGGCGGAAUCCGUCGGCGAGUGGAUCCGUCGUUGGCGCGCUCUCCAACGGGAAUAAAGUCCGGAGCGUUGCGUCCGAUCGCGGCGGAGCUGCGGAGAGUUCAAUCUUAUCGAGCGAAGAGGAACCGACGCACAGAGCUGGAUUACGGCCAGAGGGGGCACUAUGAGCCUCUGAGAUCGUCCUUUCUUUCCCGUCCCGUGUCUCUUUUGACUCGUCUUCCCAUUCAACAGUGGAUGGUGACCAGCCAACAAGCCCCAGAGGAGCCGUGAGGUGUUUCUCACAUCCUCAUCUGCCAGGACACGCUCCUCUCAUUAUCAAGCCAGUCACUUCAGAGAAAGCUGCCACCUUCGUCACAAUGAGUUCCCACAGCCGCCCAGAUAUGUGCCAUUGCAAACCCGUUUCUCUGGGUGAAGGAGGAUAGUGUUUCUCUGCUACAGGAAUAGCACGUGAUCGGGCUUCGAGGGUUGAGAAUCAGCCUUGAGAUGCCAGAAAAGGCUUUUGAGCAGCUUUUUGAUUCACACUCAAAUAUCUGUCCCCUCGACUCUGCCAAGGCCGCCUUGUCCAACUGUCAGCUCGAGGAGGAGUUUGAUUAUUCUUGGAAAAAAUCGUAAGCUGUGCUGUUUCUCCCUGCCUCCCUCUCUUCCUUUAUCUUUCCUCUUCUCUCUU